AACGCACAUUGCGCCCGGCAGUAUUCUGCCGGGCAUGCCUGUUCGAGCGUCAUUUCAACCCUCAAGCCCCCGGGCUUGGUGUUGGAGAUCGGCCCGCCCUCGUGGCUGGCCGGCUCCGAAAUCUAGUGGCGGUCCCGCUGUAGCCUCCUCUGCGUAGUAGCAAUAUCUCGCACCGGAACGCGGCGGAGCCUUGCCGUAAAACCCCCAACUUCUGAAGGUUGACCUCGGAUCAGGUAGGAAUACCCGCUGAACUUAA
This 256-nucleotide unclassified non-coding RNA is filed under the name uncultured fungus. RNAcentral's name for it is "partial contains 5.8S ribosomal RNA, internal transcribed spacer 2, and large subunit ribosomal RNA". The stretch from base 1 to 52 matches the Rfam family "5.8S ribosomal RNA", at positions 103 to 154 of the family's 154-position model. Lineage: Eukaryota; Fungi. The record is from RNAcentral.